CCAAGGUGCCUUUUCUGCCUCCCAGAAACUUGUCCCAAACCCCCUCCUCCAUCCUGGGGGACUCACAGCCAUUGACACCCACCCAGACCCCCCCAUGUCAUCCCAGGACAAGGUCCCCAAGAAGCCGCCAGCCCUGAGUGUCACUCACUAAUGAACCCCAAUUAACAGCCAGGCUCUGCUCUCUGCCAGGGAAGUAGGUGCUUCUCCAUGGAAAACACUCCUGGAUUUCUUUAAUCCUAUUUGUUGGAGCCCAACUAAUUGCAAUUAGUGGCGGGGGCUGAAGUUCAAUUAAAGUGUGCCGAGAUUAGUCUGUUUUUAAUUGCUUUAGUGCUGGAUUAGGGAAGCUUUGGAGCAACACCAGCCGUGGGCAGGGGGUGCUGGACCCACCAGGCUGGGCUGGAGCCUGGAAUGGGGGUCCCAUGGCUCCCUGUGGGAUCAGGGGACACUGGGGGGUCUCUUUGGGAAUGGGAUCCCCCCACGUGGGAUCCGCUGCCCACGGGCACGGGCAGGGCUAAUCCUGACACCUCCUCCCCCCAGAGCAGGGGAAGGACACCCCAGGAUUACCCCUGGGGAAAGCAGGGAGGUAAAUAAUCCUAUUACCCCCGGGCAGGAUAAAUCUCCCUCCCCGAAAAGCCCCCCAGAGCAUCUCCAGGCCGGAGGGAGCCGGGCUGGGCGGAGGGAGCAGCUCUGGAGCCGGGAUCGCGGCACUCUCGGGUGCGAGGAGCCGUCCUGUGCCAGCGCUGAGUUUUGGGGAACGCUGUGAGCUCUGGGGAGCACCGUGAGCCCCAGGGAGCACCCUGAGCUCCAGGGAGCACCGUGAGCUGUGGAGAACACUGUGAGAUCCAGGGAACGCUGUGAGAUCCAGGGAGCACCGUCAGUCUUGGGGAACACUGGGAGUUCUGGGGAACGCCGUGAGUUCCAGGGAACCCUGAGGAGCACCGUGAGUUCCAGGAAGCACCGUCAGCCCCAGGGAGCACCGUGAGGAAUACUGGAACGCCGUGAGCCCAGGGGAACUCUGUAAGCCCCAGGGAACACCGUGAGCCCAGGGGAACUCUGUAAGCCCCAGGGAACGCCGUGAGCUCCAGGGAACGCCGUGAGCCCAGGGG
This is a non-coding RNA of Zonotrichia albicollis (white-throated sparrow), 1106 nucleotides long. The record is from RefSeq and is a predicted model, not a curated record. NCBI's taxonomy places the organism in Eukaryota, Metazoa, Chordata, Aves, Passeriformes, Passerellidae.